Molecule: transfer RNA, 70 nt
Filed under: Bos taurus (domestic cattle)
Lineage: Eukaryota; Metazoa; Chordata; Mammalia; Artiodactyla; Bovidae
Also listed under: 5 other names
Rfam family: tRNA
About the family: Transfer RNA (tRNA) molecules are approximately 80 nucleotides in length.
Source: Rfam by way of RNAcentral
CCUUGAGGCUCAGAGAGUAAAGAAUCUGCCUGUAAUGCAGGAGACCCAGGUUCAAUCCCUGGGUCAAGAA